RNAcentral lists this unclassified non-coding RNA (291 nucleotides) under uncultured fungus. RNAcentral describes it as "partial contains 5.8S rRNA, ITS2 and 28S rRNA". It matches the Rfam family "Eukaryotic large subunit ribosomal RNA", at positions 668 to 961 of the family's 3401-position model. The record is from RNAcentral. Lineage: Eukaryota; Fungi.
AAGGAGCCUAACAUAUAUGCGAGUAUUUGGGUGGCAAACCCUUAUGCGAAAUGAAAGUGAGUACGGGUGGGAUCCCGCAAGGGCGCACCAUUGACCGAUCUGGAUUUCUCAUGAUGGAUUCGCGUUAGAGCAUUUCUGUUGGGACCCGAAAGAUGGUGAACUAUGCCCGGAUAGGAUGAAGCCAGAGGAAACUCUGGUGGAGGUCCGAAGCGGUUCUGACGUGCAAAUCGAUCGUCAAAUCUGGGUAUAGGGGCGAAAGACUAAUCGAACCAUCUAGUAGCUGGUUUCUUC